CUCAAAUUUAAANUCUGGCGGUCUUGGCCGUCCGAGUUGUAGUCUGGAGAAGUGCUUUCCGCGCUGGACCGUGUACAAGUCUCUUGGAACAGAGCGUCAUAGAGGGUGAGAAUCCCGUCUUUGACACGGACUACCAGUGCUUUGUGAUGCGCUCUCAAAGAGUCGAGUUGUUUGGGAAUGCAGCUCAAAAUGGGUGGUAAAUUCCAUCUAAAGCUAAAUAUUGGCGAGAGACCGAUAGCGAACAAGUACCGUGAGGGAAAGAUGAAAAGCACUUUGGAAAGAGAGUUAAACAGUACGUGAAAUUGCUGAAAGGGAAACGCUUGAAGUCAGUCGCGUCGUGCAGGACUCAGCCUUGCUUUUGCUUGGUGCACUUUCUGUACGACGGGCCAGCAUCAAUUUUGACCGUCGGAAAAGGGCUGAGGGAAUGUGGCACCUUCGGGUGUGUUAUAGCCUUCAGUCGCAUACGGCGGUUGGGAUUGAGGAUCGCAGCGCGCCGCAAGGCAGGGGUUCGCCCACUUUCGCGCUUAGGAUGCUGGCAUAAUGGCUUUAAACGACCCGUCUUGAAACACGGACCAAGGAGUCUAACUUACCUGCGAGUGUUUGGGUGGAAAACCCGAGCGCGUAAUGAAAGUGAAAGUUGGGACCUCUGUCGUGGAGGGCACCGACGCCCGGACCUGACGUUCUCUGACGGAUCCGCGGUAGAGCAUGUAGGUUGGGACCCGAAAGAUGGUGAACUAUGCCUGAAUAGGGUGAAGCCAGAGGAAACUCUGGNGGANGNUCGUAGCGAUUCUGACGUGCAAAUCGAUCGUCAAAUUUGGGUAUAGGGGCGAAAG
This 833-nucleotide ribosomal RNA is filed under the name Porogramme brasiliensis. Its description in RNAcentral is "LSU rRNA". It matches the Rfam family "Eukaryotic large subunit ribosomal RNA", at positions 108 to 929 of the family's 3401-position model. The record is from RNAcentral. Lineage: Eukaryota; Fungi; Basidiomycota; Agaricomycetes; Polyporales; Polyporaceae.